UUAGGAAUAUUCGUCAAUGGGGGAAACCCUGAACGAGCAAUGCCGCGUGAGUGAUGAAGGCUCUUCGAGUCGUAAAACUCUGUUGUUUGGGAAGAACGACCAAAGUAGGAAAUGACUUUGGAGUGACUGUACCAUUCGAGAAAGCCCCGGCUAACUACGUGCCAGCAGCCGCGGUAAUACGUAGGGGGCGAGCGUUAUCCGGAUUUAUUGGGCGUAAAGCGUGUGUAGGCGGUUUGUUAAGUUUAAGAUUAAAGCCCGAGGCUCAACCUCGGUUCGUCUUAAAAACUGGCAGACUUGAGUAAGAUAGAGGCAAAUGGAAUUUCUAGUGUAGCGGUAAAAUGCGUAGAUAUUAGAAGGAACACCAGUGGCGAAGGCGAUUUGCUGGGUCUUUACUGACGCU
RNAcentral lists this ribosomal RNA (400 nucleotides) under uncultured bacterium. Its description in RNAcentral is "bacterial SSU rRNA". It matches the Rfam family "Bacterial small subunit ribosomal RNA", at positions 355 to 747 of the family's 1533-position model. The record is from RNAcentral.